Non-coding RNA from Acanthosepion pharaonis, 77 nucleotides. The record is from the annotation of a GenBank genome assembly. NCBI's taxonomy places the organism in Eukaryota, Metazoa, Mollusca, Cephalopoda, Sepiida, Sepiidae.
GAACACUGAAGUUAAGCAGUGUUGAGUCUGGUCAGUACCUAGAUGGGAGACCACUUGUGAAUACCUGGUGCUGUAAG